UACGUAGGGGGCUAGCGUUGUCCGGAAUCACUGGGCGUAAAGGGUGCGUAGGCGGGUCUUUAAGUCAGGGGUGAAAUCCUGGAGCUCAACUCCAGAACUGCCUUUGAUACUGAGGAUCUUGAGUACGGGAGAGGUGAGUGGAACUGCGAGUGUAGAGGUGAAAUUCGUAGAUAUUCGCAAGAACACCAGUGGCGAAGGCGGCUCACUGGCCCGUAACUGACGCUGAGGCACGAAAGCGUGGGGAGCAAACAGG
This 253-nucleotide ribosomal RNA is filed under the name uncultured bacterium. RNAcentral's name for it is "partial 16S ribosomal RNA". It matches the Rfam family "Bacterial small subunit ribosomal RNA", at positions 524 to 776 of the family's 1533-position model. The record is from RNAcentral.